This 444-nucleotide ribosomal RNA is filed under the name uncultured bacterium. RNAcentral describes it as "bacterial SSU rRNA". It matches the Rfam family "Bacterial small subunit ribosomal RNA", at positions 331 to 792 of the family's 1533-position model. The record is from RNAcentral.
CCAGACUCCUACGGGAGGCAGCAGUGGGGAAUAUUGCACAAUGGGGGAAACCCUGAUGCAGCAACGCCGCGUGAGUGAAGAAGUAUUUCGAUAUGUAAAGCUCUAUCAGCAGGGAAGAAGAUGACGGUACCUGAGUAAGAAGCCCCGGCUAACUACGUGCCAGCAGCCGCGGUAAUACGUAGGGGGCAAGCGUUAUCCGGAUUUACUGGGUGUAAAGGGAGCGUAGACGGCAUAGCAAGUCUGAAGUGAAAUGCCAGUGCUCAACACUGGAACUGCUUUGGAAACUGUGUAGCUAGAGUGCAGGAGAGGUAAGUGGAAUUCCUAGUGUAGCGGUGAAAUGCGUAGAUAUUAGGAGGAACACCAGUGGCGAAGGCGGCUUGCUGGACGAUGACUGACGCUGAGGCUCGAAAGCGUGGGGAGCAAACAGGAUUAGAUACCCGCGUA